Molecule: ribosomal RNA, 264 nt
Filed under: uncultured bacterium
Lineage: Bacteria
Description: partial 16S ribosomal RNA
Rfam family: Bacterial small subunit ribosomal RNA
Source: RNAcentral
GUCCACGCUGUAAACGAUGUCAACUAGCCGUUGGGGACCUUCGUGUCCUUGGUGGCGUAGCUAACGCGCUAAGUUGACCGCCUGGGGAGUACGGUCGCAAGAUUAAAACUCAAAUGAAUUGACGGGGGCCCGCACAAGCGGUGGAGCAUGUGGUUUAAUUCGACGCAACGCGAAGAACCUUACCAGGUCUUGACAUCCAGAGAAGUCGCUAGAGAUAGCUUCGUGCCUUCGGGAACUCUGAGACAGGUGCUGCAUGGCUGUCGU